RNAcentral lists this microRNA (24 nucleotides) under Glycine max (soybean). Its description in RNAcentral is "gma-miR4381". The record is from miRBase by way of RNAcentral. Lineage: Eukaryota; Viridiplantae; Streptophyta; Magnoliopsida; Fabales; Fabaceae.
UAUGUGACGGUAAACGGUGACAAG